Molecule: ribosomal RNA, 538 nt
Filed under: uncultured archaeon
Lineage: Archaea
Description: bacterial SSU rRNA
Rfam family: Archaeal small subunit ribosomal RNA
Source: RNAcentral
AGCCGCCGCGGGAACACCGGCGGCCCGAGUGGUGAUCGUGAUUAUUGGGUCUAAAGGGUCCGUAGCCGGUUGGUCAGUCCUCCGGGAAAUCUGAUAGCUCAACUAUUAGGCUUUCGGGGGAUACUGCCAGACUUGGAACCGGGAGAGGUAAGAGGUACUACAGGGGUAGGAGUGAAAUCUUGUAAUCCCUGUGGGACCACCUGUGGCGAAGGCGUCUUACCAGAACGGGUUCGACGGUGAGGGACGAAAGCUGGGGGCACGAACCGGAUUAGAUACCCGGGUAGUCCCAGCCGUAAACGAUGCUCGCUAGGUGUCAGGCAUGGCGCGACCGUGUCUGGUGCCGCAGGGAAGCCGUGAAGCGAGCCACCUGGGAAGUACGGCCGCAAGGCUGAAACUUAAAGGAAUUGGCGGGGGAGCACAACAACGGGUGGAAGCCUGCGGUUUAAUUGGACUCAACGCCGGACAACUCACCGGGGGCGACAGCAAUAUGUAGGCCAAGCUGAAGACUUUGCCUGAAUCGCUGAGAGGAGGUGCAUGG